This 497-nucleotide ribosomal RNA is filed under the name uncultured bacterium. Its description in RNAcentral is "partial 16S ribosomal RNA". It matches the Rfam family "Bacterial small subunit ribosomal RNA", at positions 28 to 507 of the family's 1533-position model. The record is from RNAcentral.
GAUGAACGCUGGCGGCGUGCCUAAUACAUGCAAGUCGAGCGAACGGACGAGAAGCUUGCUUCUCUGAUGUUAGCGGCGGACGGGUGAGUAACACGUGGAUAACGUACCUAUAAGACUGGGAUAACUUCGGGAAACCGGAGCUAAUACCGGAUGAUAUUUUGAACCGCAUGGUUCAAAAGUGAAAGACGGUCUUGCUGUCACUUAUAGAUGGAUCCGCGCUGCAUUAGCUAGUUGGUAAGGUAACGGCUUACCAAGGCAACGAUGCAUAGCCGACCUGAGAGGGUGAUCGGCCACACUGGAACUGAGACACGGUCCAGACUCCUACGGGAGGCAGCAGUAGGGAAUCUUCCGCAAUGGGCGAAAGCCUGACGGAGCAACGCCGCGUGAGUGAUGAAGGUCUUCGGAUCGUAAAACUCUGUUAUUAGGGAAGAACAUAUGUGUAAGUAACUGUGCACAUCUUGACGGUACCUAAUCAGAAAGCCACGGCUAACUACGUG